AGGGACCUCAGCUUCAUGCGGAUGACCCUGAGCUUGUACUUGGGGCUGACCACAGAUCCGGUGGAGAACACCAAGGAAAUCUCAGCCACUUCACGCAGAUCUUGAUCAAAUCUCGCCAGCAGACUCACUUGGUGAUACUUCUGAAAUGUGGCCGGUUCACUAGGAAGCAAUGACACAUGAGGUGAGUACAGAGAGCCCAGGAGAGAAAGCAGUUCUGAGGCCUGCAAGUCACUGAUAGGCAGGUGACCGCUUGGCCCCACUGCCGCACUGGCUGGCUCUCAGGAGCACCCCCUGACUUCCGAAGGGCAGCCUGAGGAAAGGUACUGCCCUCAAAAUGCACCUACUGUGUGUGGGGGUCUGCUCAUCCCCGUACACAGCUGCCCAUUGCCCUGCCAUUCCGAGCGGUGGGCACUGCUUUCCUGCUCUGCAGACAGAACAGCUGCAGAGCUCAAACUCCCCUGGAUGGAGAUUGUGUGUGGCGCUGUGGGGAUGCAGGCCCAGAAGUUCAAAGUCACAGUCUUUCCAUUGAACUGCGUUGCUAGUGCCAUAGGGAUAUUUCUAGCCAAACUCUGUACUAAUAGAGAAGUUAGUCUUUGUUCCAUCUUCCCUCACAAGAUGAACCACAAAACAGCUGAAUUUCAGUUCUAAUACGUUACCCAAGUGUGUGGGCAUGUUUCCUACCGUCACAACCCCAUGGGCCUAAGGUACACAGAGUCUCCUGGAGAGGUUCAGCAUGACUUGUCCUUGUGGGGAGCUUGGAGAGGAGGGCACCGAGAACUGAGGGGCCCCUGGGUUCAGGAACAGAUAGGCCUGUAUACACUGGAGUACUACUGUGCCAUAAAGGAUGAAUUUGAGUCAUUUGUAGGAAAAUGGAUAUACCUUGAGACCAUAAUGGUAAGUUAAAAAAAGAUACACAAGCUUAAAUAUCACAUGGUUUCUCUUAUCUGAGGAACCCAAAGUAUAAGUAAGUUAAAGAGCGAAAUAGAAGAUAAGAGGAAACAAGGAGAUACAUCUUUUGCAAAAGGGAAGGAGAACAGGAGAUGGAGGGCAGGGAGGGAAAAGACAGGAAGCAGAUGAAGAAAGAAUGAAGACGUGUCAUGUAGUAUACCAGCUCCCCACAAGGAAGAUAAUCGUGUAUGUACUGCAAACAUGAGCUCAUAAAAAUUUUUUUUUAAAAAAGGAACAGUGGCUUGCUCCAUACAGGAUCCUUAAUUUUGAAGUGGGGCAGAUGUGAACAGGUGUCUCACCCCAGCCCCCCAUCCUGUCCGGUCCUGUGGAGAGCAGAAGUGCCACAGAUAAGAUUAAUCUGAAAGGGGCCCGGGUUUUGGUUUUUAAGACCAGAAGGAAGUGCCCAGAGAAGGACAGAAAUGUCCCAAUGACAGAAUCACCUGCACCCAUUGGCAUGGCUGGUGUUGGUGAGGAUUCGAGAGACUGGAGCCCUUGGGAGAAGUCCCCUUCAGGCUGGGAGUGUGGCUCCAUGGGGACGCGCUUGCCUAGAGCGCAGGCUUACCAUGAACAAGGCCCUGGAUUCGACCCCAGCACCAAAAGAAAAAGAAGUCACUUCUAAGCCAUCCACAAACACGGCUCUUUAUCCACCCAGGGAGCCCCUGAUGUGAUUGCCAGUUUCAGAUGCCACUCUGUCAUUCUUCUGCGGAUGUGGCCAACACAAAACCUCAGUGUCUGGAAGCCAGCCAAACUCAGGAAACGUUUGCAAGUAAAGGAACAAAAUGAACCUCAAAUUCCUUUGUUUCAAAGGUUCCCUCACCCCUUUUCUUGCUUAUAGAAGUGAUAGAUAAAAACUGUUUUUGUUUUUGAGACAGGGUCUCGCUAUGCGGUUCAGGCUGGCUUUGGCUGGCCUGUAGGCCAGGCUGGCCUCCAACUCACACCAAUCCUCCUGCCUCAGCCUCCCAAGUACUGGGAUUACAGGUGUGUGCCACUGUGCCUGGCUCUAAUUAUUUUACAAUUUAAAAUACAGCCAUAAUAAAAGAUUGCAAACUAAAAAGAAGCUGAAAAAAAAAAGCAUUCCUAUGCCCCACAACCCUAAAUGGCAAUCUAAAAUUUGGCAUGUUUCUUUUUCUUUUUUUCACACUGUUGAGCUAAUUUUAUAAUUCUUAGUGCCUGUAUCUAGAUGUCCCCCUAAAGCUUCAUGUGCUUAUGGGUGGAGCUUUCAAGAGAUGGCUGAAUCAUGUGUGUGUGAUGGAUUACGGUGUGUGAUACUGGGAUUAAGAGUGUGUGAUAAAUAAAUUGGUGUGGCAUACUUCUAGGUGUGGAUAAUAGAAGGCCCUGUCUGGGUGUUGGUGGCACCAAUCAAGAGGUCUGUAACCUGAAUGGAACAUAAAGGGACAGAAGGAAGGAAGGCUGCUGCUUUGCUGCUUGCUGCCUCCUGCCUACCCUGCCAUGGACUGUUUCUGCUGUGAUGCUCCUCUGCCAUGCCACCCUGCCUUGGAACCAGCCAACUAUGAACUGAAACCUCUACAAAUUUUCCCACUCCAGCUCUUCUCUCAGACAUCUGGCUGUGGCAGACACCCACCCAUGACUGUCACUCCAGCCCACAUGGCACGUACACAAUCCCAGAUGUGAAAUCGGCCUCAGGAGAGACAGAAGGGCCUGGACGAGCCACAGAGAGCUGGGAGCUAAGGGAGGCCGGAGUCGCUCCAUGGGGACAAAUGCGACACUUCAGCUUAUCUCUCUGCGAAAGGAAAUCAUGAGAACCAGAAAAGCACCCAACAAAGCCAGUUGCACAUACGGAAAUCUGUCCACAGUGUGCAGACCUGCCUUCCUUCAUUGGGCAAGGUGGUAACUUUACAAAUUAGAAGGAAGGAUGGGAAAAUCAUGCUCCCAGCAGCGCCAUCAUGUGGCGGGGGGCGCUGCAUGACACCAGCUUCCCUCCGGGAUUUCUGUGGGUUUGGAGCCCUGCCGGUGGGAGGGCGGGCCUCUGGAGAAACCUGCUCUGUCCCUGCCUGAGGAUUCCCCAGGGAGCCUUGGAGUGUUACCGUCCGUGUCCGAGUGGAUGACGUCCACGAACAGGGCGUCGCUGGGAUCUAAUCUGUCCUCCGAAGGUCUCCCGUUGAAUGAAGGGCCCGCAGGGUCAAGACCUGGAAGGAAGACAGCGUGGUUUGACAGCCCCAUGCCAUGAGUCACCCCGCCCGGCCUCUGAUCCCUCCCGGUGAGGACGCUCCCAGCCGCAGGGCCCUCAGCGGGGCGCGCACCCCAUUCCCAUCCUGCUUCAUCGGGCUCCUUUGCACAGCCUGCAGCUCUUUCCCACAGUGGAGACGCUACCCUGGCGGUGCCCCUGAGAGCCGCAUCCUGACUCCGCGAGGAGGCACGGCGGGUGGAGCUGGGCCGUGCACACGUGUGUGGGUCAGAGGACAAGAUGAACCGGUUCCUUAGUGAAAAAGCACCACAGAGUACAUAAAAGAGAAAAAGCCCAUACCAUGUACUCGUUAUCCUAUUUUAGAUGCUUCUGUUCCCCACUCCGCCCUUCCUUCUUGCUAUUAAUAAAACUCCUUUACAGUUUCCA
Non-coding RNA from Heterocephalus glaber (naked mole-rat), 3520 nucleotides. The record is from RefSeq and is a predicted model, not a curated record. Lineage: Eukaryota; Metazoa; Chordata; Mammalia; Rodentia; Bathyergidae.